GAUGAACGCUGGCGGCGUGCCUAAUACAUGCAAGUCGAGCGAACAGACGAGGAGCUUGCUCCUCUGACGUUAGCGGCGGACGGGUGAGUAACACGUGGAUAACCUACCUAUAAGACUGGGAUAACUUCGGGAAGCCGGAGCUAAUACCGUAUAAUCUAUUGAACCGCAUGGUUCAAUAGUGAAAGACGGUUUUGCUGUCACGUAUAGAUGGAUCCGCGCCGCAUUAGCUAGUUGGUAAGGUAACGGCUUACCAAGGCAACGAUGCGUAGCCGACCUGAGUGGGUGAUCGGCCACAUUGGAACGGAGACACGGUCCAGACUCCUACGGGAGGCAGCAGUAGGGAAUGUUCCGCAAUGGGCGAAAGCCUGACGGAGCAACGCCGCGUGAGUGAUGAAGGUCUUCGGAUCGUAAAACUCUGUUAUUAGGGAAGAACAAAUGUGUAAGUAACUAUGCACGUCUUGACGGUACCUAAUCAGAAAGCCACGGCUAACUACGUG
This 497-nucleotide ribosomal RNA is filed under the name uncultured bacterium. RNAcentral's name for it is "partial 16S ribosomal RNA". It matches the Rfam family "Bacterial small subunit ribosomal RNA", at positions 28 to 507 of the family's 1533-position model. The record is from RNAcentral.